GUAGUUUGGAGGACACAGGACAACCAUAGACAGUUUGCAAAGGCACAUCCUCAACAUGGCAGAAGAGUGGAGUAAUCCUUUUUUCACAGCAAAAGGACAACUAGGGAGUCUGCCUCUGCAUACACCAUCAGCAACAACACUAGAGGUUACCGCUGAUUGGGGAACUAGGCAUAAGGCCUGUUAUACAGACAUGGUAAG
Molecule: long non-coding RNA, 198 nt
Organism: Alosa alosa (allis shad)
Lineage: Eukaryota; Metazoa; Chordata; Actinopteri; Clupeiformes; Clupeidae
Exons: 3
Source: RefSeq, a predicted model, not a curated record